AAUUUUACCAUUAAAAUUUUAAUAGGUAAAAUACCACUAUACCCUUAAGUAAUUAAACUUAAAACUAUUCUCAUUCUUCUCCAUGAUUUCUCAGAUUCAACUUUAACGUCAUCAAAUCUGGCGACGACGAGUUCUCCGGCCAGAUCCGACGAGGACGAUGCUGACAAGUUCUCCGGCCAGAUCGGACUACGCUGACGAGUUCUCCGGCCAGAUCCGACGACACUAACGAGUUUUCUGGCCAGAUCGGACGACGCUGACGAGUUCUCCGGCCAGAUCCGACAACAUUAAUUGACGAAUUCUCCGGCCAGAUCCGAAGAAGCUGACGAUCUCUGUGACGAAGCUAACAAAGGUGACCAGAAAAUCGAUUGUGAUCAUCAUAUCGUUGUUUAAUUUUAGCAUGGUUUCUCACAAAUCAGUUUGUGGGAAGGAAAGCCUUAUAAAACCUUAUAAAUAUUUAUCUAUGAAAUUUCUGGGAAGUUUCUCAAAAAGAUAGUUUGACUUGGUUCUUGUCUACCUAUUUGCUUGUUUAAAUAACUCGGAAGAUUUUGUUUUGACUAAGUAAUUGAUCAUCGUCUCUGACACAUGAUGAUAACCAAUUUUGCUCCUCGUCAUAUUGGUUGUUUUUCAGAGUUCUGGCUUGAACUCAAAGUGUUUCUUUACAAUGAUUUUCUUUUUGUUUGACUCUGUUUUUCCGUAGUAACGUUUUCAGCGUUGAUUCCUCUGAGUGAGUUCUCUGAAGCUUCCAUGAUGAAGAAGUAUGGUUUGAAGCCAGAUGCUGAAACCCUUGACAUUGCCAACACCACCGCUAGGCAAAAAUCGAUUACAGACUUACAGUAGAGAUGAAGAUAUAUUGAGGAGAUCCUCGUGAGAAGAUAUGUGAAGCUGUUGAUCAUAUCCCUCUCUCAAGCCUUGGUGGCCUUGAGAGGAUGAUAAUGGGAAGUGUUAGCAACCAUGUUGUCAACAACGUUGCAUGCCCUGUCACCGUCGUGAAGUCUCACCACUGAGCUUUGCCUUCAUCUUCUUCACAUCAUCUGCUCCGAUAACCUUAAUCAGAAUGACCUGUGGUGUAUUGUGUUUGUUGGUUGUGUCUGAAUUUGUAAUUUUCAAACUCUGGUGUGAUUUGUCAAGCGGAAGGACCGAGAAAAUACAAGUAACUAACAAACACAUACGCAUUAAGGAAGAAACUGACUCCAAUGAUUCAGAGUUUUGGAUGCUUAAGUCAAGUUCUGGUUCAGACUUAGAGUCAUAGCAGGAGAGUGAUGAAGAAAACUGCAAAGGUUCUCAUUGUGAUGCCAAAGAAUAUGAGGAGCUCUCAGAAAGAACAAAGAGGAUGUCAAUAGAGAUUGGACCAAGUAUGAUCAUUACGGCAGCGCCACUAUGAUCAUGAGGCUCAAGGCUACUAUUCAGUCUUUGGAAGGGCGGAUGAGUUCUGUUACUGAGAAAAGUGCUAAGUAUGCUCAGAUUGCUGCUGAGGAAGUGCCCAAGAGUCUUUACUGCCUUGGUGUUCGUCUAACUGAGUGAUUUUAGAACUCUGAGUUACAGGGGAAGCUUAAGCUCUUUGUCCACUCUUAUGAUCAGUGGAGAGCUUAAGAUGUAUUCUCACCUCAAGCAGUUUACUUUCCUUGAUCUCAAGUUGGCUAUUAGAAAUUUCAGACCCGAAAGUCUUCUCAGAGAAAGUGGCUUUGGUUGCGUCUUUAAAGGAUGGAUGGAGGAGAACGGAACUGCUCCUGUUAAGCCUGGCACUGGCCUUACUGUUGCUGUCAAAACCUUGAAUCUUGAUGGCCUUCAGGGUCAUAAAGAGUGGCUUGUAUGAUCCUUAAAAACACUUCUAAAUAGAUUUAUAAACUCUUAUAAAUUGUGUAAUGAAGAUUAUUAAAUUUUUAUAAUCUUUUGAAUAAACCCUUAUAAAUAGAUUUAUAUUUCAUAUAUA
Long non-coding RNA from Brassica napus (rape), 1930 nucleotides. RefSeq lists it as uncharacterized. Lineage: Eukaryota; Viridiplantae; Streptophyta; Magnoliopsida; Brassicales; Brassicaceae. The transcript is spliced from 5 exons. The record is from RefSeq and is a predicted model, not a curated record.